GAUGAACGCUGACAGAAUGCUUAACACAUGCAAGUCUACUUGAUCCUUCGGGUGAUGGUGGCGGACGGGUGAGUAACGCGUAAAGAACUUGCCCUGCAGUCUGGGACAACGUUUGGAAACGAAUGCUAAUACCGGAUAUUAUGUGAGUUUCGCAUGAAAUUCAUAUGAAAGCUAUAUGCGCUGCAGGAGAGCUUUGCGUCCUAUUAGCUAGUUGGUGAGGUAACGGCUCACCAAGGCGAUGAUAGGUAGCCGGCCUGAGAGGGUGAACGGCCACAAGGGGACUGAGACACGGCCCUUACUCCUACGGGAGGCAGCAGUGGGGAAUAUUGGACAAUGGACCAAAAGUCUGAUCCAGCAAUUCUGUGUGCACGAUGAAGUUUUUCGGAAUGUAAAGUGCUUUCAGUUGGGACGAAGUAAGUGACGGUACCAACAGAAGAAGCGACGGCUAAAUACGUGCCAGCAGCCGCGGUAAUACGUAUGUCGCAAGCGUUAUCCGGAUUUAUUGGGCGUAAAGCGCGUCUAGGCGGUUUGGUAAGUCUGAUGUGAAAAUGCGGGGCUCAACUCCGUAUUGCGUUGGAAACUGCCAAACUAGAGUACUGGAGAGGUGGGCGGAACUACAAGUGUAGAGGUGAAAUUCGUAGAUAUUUGUAGGAAUGCCGAUGGGGAAGCCAGCCCACUGGACAGAUACUGACGCUAAAGCGCGAAAGCGUGGGUAGCAAACAGG
Molecule: ribosomal RNA, 724 nt
Filed under: uncultured bacterium
Lineage: Bacteria
Description: bacterial SSU rRNA
Rfam family: Bacterial small subunit ribosomal RNA
Source: RNAcentral